CGGUCUCGAUCUCCUGAUCUCAUGAUCCAGCCAUCUCGGCCUCCCAAAGUGCUGGCAUCACAGGCGUGAGCCACCGCGCCCGGCCAUGUCUUGGUUCUGGAUGUUCCUGGUGGGUGGGGGCUUCUGCCUUCGUUGUGGGCAGGCUGUGUCCCCCCUCGCUGGGGAGAUGAAGGCAGCCUAGGGUUCGACAGCACACAGGGACCAUCAGAUGGGUCCCUCCUGGUGUCUCUGUGGGAGGCGGGAGGAGAUGGGUUACCUGAGGACACACGCAGGGGCCUAGGUUCUAGCACAGCCAUGUGUCCUUGGUCCUGCUGCUUAACCUCCCCGUGCCACAGCUUUCUCAUCUGUGAAAUGGGGCAAUAGAGCUGCCAGUGACCAAGUGAGUUCUGCACAUAAAAAGCUUCCAGCAGACUCCUGGAGACAGUAACACAUUAGUGCCCGUAUGUGUGAUCUUGUGAUGGGGUGAAGACACUGGGGCCUCAGCCCAGAAGCUUCCACCUGCUCUCAGGCCUUGUGCUGAAGCGGUUUGCCUGGAGAGAGUGGAAGUGGCUGCCUGCUCCCCACCAACCGGCCCCUGAAUCCCACGCUCCCCUCCCCCCGCCUGCCUAAGCUCAGCAUUCGCCACCACCUCCAGCCCCGGCAGCCUUUUCUCCUUUUCUUUUCUCGUUUUAUCUCACCAGCAGAGCAUCUUGCAGUCGGUCAUUCCAUUUCAUUUCUGGUCUUCGGAGAGUGACAUUUACAUAUUAAUAUUUUCUAAGGGAGCCCCGUGCACGGAGCCAGUGUCCGCCUCAUGGCCUCACAUGCUGUGCGGGAGAUAAAGCAGGCUCCGCCGUGAAGAACGACAAGCGGAGCCGCGUGGUCGCGAAAGGCCUUGCGUGUGCCCCGUCAGUGUGUGGCGCCUGGCAGGGCUGAUGGAGCGCCCCUCUCCCCUCCAAGGUUUAUCUCUGCUCACAGAGGAUGUGUGCUUUGUCAGGGGCUCUGCCUCCCCGUCGCUUCCUGCUGCCGGCCCCAAGCCGGGCACCAGGGACACGGCUCCUGGCCCGAGAUGCCCUGACAGGCGCGUCGGCUGGAACUGGGCACAGCCGGCCAGCGCCAGCCAGGCUAUCACUGCCCUGCAGAGGCUGCUGCCACGGCCCCGCCAUCCCCGGCCACCCAGACAUCUGUGCCUGCAGGCCCAGAUCCAGUGACGCCUUGGUGGGGGGCUUUGGGUGUGCCCCCCGGGGUCAGUUCUCUCUGGGUGUGAGGGCCCAAGAGAGAAUGAAGGGGGUCUCUGGGUGAUGAGUGUGCCCACCAUGGAUGGGGCAGAUUGUGGAAGGAGAUAUGGAAUGGAGCCACAGG
This 1338-nucleotide long non-coding RNA is filed under the name Homo sapiens (human). Its description in RNAcentral is "long non-coding RNA NONHSAT173393.1". The record is from RNAcentral. Lineage: Eukaryota; Metazoa; Chordata; Mammalia; Primates; Hominidae.